UUAACCCUGCUAUGCAGGUGAUGUUGCAAAAAAGUUUUGUACCAACACUCAAUAAAAAGUCUCAAUUUCGUAGAGAUUACGCGAUAGGCUAGAGCCAAGGCGAAAGUUCUGCGUUAGAGACAUCCUGUGAAAGCAGGUUCAAAACCUAGCAACACACGGCAUUGGCGGGGUUUAU
This 175-nucleotide non-coding RNA is filed under the name Chloroflexota bacterium. RNAcentral describes it as "Chloroflexi bacterium 6S RNA". It matches the Rfam family "6S / SsrS RNA". From Rfam's summary of the family: E. coli 6S RNA was the first non coding RNA to be sequenced, but its function was unknown until recently. It consists of 184 nucleotides that fold into an extended hairpin structure with a large single-stranded internal bulge. Lineage: Bacteria; Bacillati; Chloroflexota. The record is from RNAcentral.